RNAcentral lists this ribosomal RNA (253 nucleotides) under uncultured bacterium. RNAcentral describes it as "partial 16S ribosomal RNA". It matches the Rfam family "Bacterial small subunit ribosomal RNA", at positions 524 to 776 of the family's 1533-position model. The record is from RNAcentral.
UACGUAGGGGGCAAGCGUUGUCCGGAAUCAUUGGGCGUAAAGAGCGCGUAGGCGGUCCGGUAAGUCGGUUGUGAAAACUGGGGGCUCAACCCUCAGAGGCCGACCGAUACUGUCGGGCUAGAGUCCGGAAGAGGCGAGUGGAAUUCCUGGUGUAGCGGUGAAAUGCGCAGAUAUCAGGAAGAACACCCGUGGCGAAAGCGGCUCUCUGGAACGGUACUGACGCUGAGACGCGAAAGCGUGGGGAGCGAACAGG